CGGACUAAUAAUGUCUUAGUCCGUGUGUAAUCGUGAUUUUCAUACAACUACAAGUCUACAACUUACUGCUGGUACAACUCAUAGAUAAUGUAAGAUUUAAGAAAAGAAAUUUAACGAUACUUUUUUAAUGUUAUAUGGCCGAAUAUGGGGCCAAUAUUGAUAUGAUAAUAAAUGACAUUAAUGAUUAAUUAGUAAAAAUUAACGAUCUAUAAUAUUCUAUAUUCUAAUUAAAAUUAAUUAUGUACGCAAAGUUUAGAGUGAUUCGAGUAUUCCAAAUACCAAUAUCAGACACAACAAUCAAAAUACAAAUUUGAAAUUGACAAAUAUUGCAAACAGUUUUUGGACAUAACCUUAAAAAAAGCCCCAUAUUGUCUUUCUCUCUUUACGUUCUCUAUUCCCCAAAAAAGCACACGGCCCUAUAUGAAAUUAUGAAACUGGUAAAGGCAUGUCCAUCCAUCACAGUUUAAGAUAUAUGUAUGUAUAUCUUAAACCGUGCUAUCCAUUUUUUUAUUAUCUAUGAUACAAUUAUUUAAGUCAAAUAUAUAUCAACUCGUUCGUUAUACGAAUACCAUUUUUAUACCAUUUUUGAUCGCGAUUAAGAUAUUUUUUAGUCGUAUUUUGACGGCAUUUAAUGCAGUAAUUAUCCGCCAGGAGCGCUAGGAAGGCCGAUUAUUGUAGCAUUACGAAUUUAGAAAUGAAUGUAGUUUACUUUUCCUAAAUGAUUUUUAGAAAUAUUAGUAUUUAUAUGCUCAACUUGUAGGUGGAAUCAGAAUUUACCUAUCUUACUUACUUUUUAUGUUAUUAAUAAUAAACCACAUAAAAAUUAAUUGUAGGUGUUGCGUGGUUUAUUAACAGUAACGAAAAAAGUAAGUUACAUAGGUACAUUCUGAUUCCACCAACUCGCAUAAAAAUAUCAACAUUUCAUAAGAAAAAAUUCCUUAAAAUGAAAAUUCCUAGUAUUUUAAACUCAAAAACAAGAUUUUUCCAAAAAUCAAGCAUUUAAAGUUUUUUGAAUAUAAUUAAAUUAAACUUGAGCGAAUUUUUUUUAAGUACCAUCAAAUUGAGCAUGCAAAACACACUUUGAAAAAAAAAAUCCAAAAUUCUUUUUGUGGCUAAACUGCAUUUAUGCCAAACUUAAUGUUGUACUUUUGGAUUUAAAUCACGAUAUUUUUGUGUACCUACUCUGAAAUAUUAGAUCACCUAUAAACUGUAAUAAUGAUUAUUUAAUUAAUCAUAUUAAAGACAAUAAUAAAAUUGUUAAUCAAUGUGCCAUUACUAUGUCCAUUUGUUCACACUAUUUAAACUGAACUUGGAUUCUCAAAUUAACUCAUAUGAGUUAAUUAUUAAUUAAUAUAGAAAUAAAAUGUUGACUAUAACUUACAAUAAAGUUUGAGCAAAGAAAAAUUUGGUAUUUCAUUUUGAUAUUAAUUUUCCUUUUAUAAUAUAACAUUGUAACCUAUACCUUAUACCUAUCAAAGUGUAUAGUAUAAUACUAUAAUAUACUAAAAAAGUAUGUAAAUAAUGUGUUACAUGCCUACAAUAAUGAAUAAAUAUUGAAAUAUCAAUAGUACCAAAAGAAUAGGGAUAGAGUAUUAUUCAAAAUGUGUGUUUUUGCAUGUAUUCUUUACAUUGUGCUCAAAACAUUGAAAUUUGCAUGGCUGUUGUAUUGGCUGUAGUCGGCUAUCUAUACUGGCAGUGAUGAACUUAGGAAAAAACAGAUAAAUCAAGGCAUAAAAGAAGGUGCAGUUAAGAAAUUGAUUCUUGAUGUGAGUACCCGUUGGAACAGUGUAUUUUACAUGCUUCAAAGAUUUAUCGAUAUGUCUAAAAUUAUUGCGGAUAUAAUGCUGACACGUCCAAACGGUCCAGAAAUUAUAACAGCAAGACAACUGCAAGAAAUACACGAUAUCAUAUUGGUUUUGCGUCCUCUGGAAAUGGUCACAACUGAGAUGUCAGCAGAGAAUUAUGUAACUAUUAGUAAGGUCUUACCCAUUGUUAGUUGUUUUGACUAAUGGUGUAAGUUCACAACUACCUAAGAGCGAAUUAGGGAAAAGUUAUAAAAUUGCUGUCAUUGUCCAAUUGAAUAGGCGAUUUGGUAAUAUUGAAAUGUUUAACAUAUGUUCUUUGGCCACAUUGUUGGAUCCACGUUUUAAAAAUCUGUAUUUCAAGGUUAGUUAGGUUGUCGACGCAAAUGCUAUAAAGGAAAUGGUUUUCAACAACCGCAUGACAUUAUCCUCUGCUUCUUGCUUCUUCAGAGGAAGAAACCAAUGAAAGUACCAAAGUAUUUAACCUCUGGGAAUACCACCAAGAGCUAGCACAUAAACGAUCUAGUUCAAGAGCAUUUAGCAGCAAGAAAACUAAUACCCAUUCACCAUCGGAUCUACUAGUACUUAAUUAUCUAUCAGCACCAGUCACUCCGUUGAAGCAAAAUCCAUUAGAAGUGUGGGAAGACAUGAAAUCGGUUUAUCCAUUGAUUUAUAUGGAAGCACAAAAAGUAUUUUGUAUUGUUGCGACAUUUGUUCCUUCUGAAAGGCUAUUCUCCAAAGCUGGAGCUACUCUUUCCAAAGAAAGAAAUAGAUUAUUGGGAAAAAGACUUUUUAAGCUGUUAUUCCUGGGGUCCAUUGAUGACCGUUAUUGGCUUGAUAAUGUAUAACUUUUUAUUAUUUUAGUUAUUAUAAAAAAUCAAUUAAAAAUGUACAUGUUUAUGUAUUAAUAUUUAUAUUGUUUUA
Metopolophium dirhodum (rose-grain aphid) is the source of this 2726-nucleotide long non-coding RNA. RefSeq lists it as uncharacterized. The record is from RefSeq and is a predicted model, not a curated record. The transcript has 3 exons. NCBI's taxonomy places the organism in Eukaryota, Metazoa, Arthropoda, Insecta, Hemiptera, Aphididae.